CCUCCCAUGGCGUAGUGGUUAACGCGCCCCAACUAGAGAUCGGGGAGUCGUGAGUUCGAUUCUCACUGAGAAGA
This 74-nucleotide transfer RNA is filed under the name Aedes aegypti (yellow fever mosquito). It matches the Rfam family "tRNA". Rfam says of the family: Transfer RNA (tRNA) molecules are approximately 80 nucleotides in length. The record is from Rfam by way of RNAcentral. Lineage: Eukaryota; Metazoa; Arthropoda; Insecta; Diptera; Culicidae.